Non-coding RNA from Camelina sativa (false flax), 636 nucleotides. The record is from RefSeq and is a predicted model, not a curated record. NCBI's taxonomy places the organism in Eukaryota, Viridiplantae, Streptophyta, Magnoliopsida, Brassicales, Brassicaceae.
UUACCACUUCGCUCUAAUCAAAUCUUUUUUUUCUUUCCGGCGAUGCCGUUUCGCCGUCUUAUGCUCCCCUCUCCGUCUCAGAGAUCUAUUCGGGUCUUAUUUGCCUGUGUUUGUGAAGAAUCUGCCUUAGUUUUUAUUUUAUUUUAUUUUAUUUACAUCCGACUUUGCUUCCGUGUUUUCGAAUCUGGGUUUAAAUCCUAAAAUCCCUAUUUGUUUUGAGUUUCUUGGGUUUAUAUCGCUAAGAGGAUACAAUGCAAUUCGGAUCCAUCAAAGUUCUUUUUGUUUCUAUCUGACAUUAAGCUCUUUUUCUUGGUCGCCAUUACCGACGCGCCUUUCACCUUUUCAACGCCUCUAAGAUUGUCCUCCGAGAUCUUCGAUUCCGUUACCUCGCCGCCAAGUGCCUCGAGGAAUUGAAGGAAUGGGAUCAGUGCCUCUUGAUGCUUGGUGAUGCUAAGGUUGAUGAAGAUGGAAUUGUCUAUGAUGCCAAAGAUGGUAGCGUCAUAGAUUAAUAUUUCUUCGGCAAUAUGCUUCUUAAGAGGGAAAGCAUAUGGAGCUUUACAAAACCGUUCUCAGGCUCGACAAUGGUACAAAGCUGCUAUUAAGGCUGAUCCUCUGUGCUAUGAGGCUUUGGAAUGC